Molecule: ribosomal RNA, 253 nt
Filed under: uncultured microorganism
Description: partial 16S ribosomal RNA
Rfam family: Bacterial small subunit ribosomal RNA
Source: RNAcentral
UACGGAGGGUGCAAGCGUUAAUCGGAAUUACUGGGGGUAAAGCGUACGUAGGCGGCUUGUUAAGCAAGAUGUGAAAUCCCCGGGCUCAACCUGGGAACUGCAUUCGAAACUGGCAGGCUAGAGUCUUGUAGAGGGGGGUAGAAUUCCAGGUGUAGCGGUGAAAUGCGUAGAGAUCUGGAGGAAUACCGGUGGAGAAGUCGGUCUCCUGGGCCGUUCCUGACGCUGAGGCCCGAAAGCUAGGGGAGCAAACCGG